UACGUAGGUGGCAAGCGUUGUCCGGAAUUAUUGGACGUAAAGCGCGCGCAGGCGGUCUUUUAAGUCUGAUGUGAGAGCCCACGGCUCAACCGUGGAGGGUCAUUGGAAACUGGGAGACUUGAGUGCAGAAGAGAAGAGUGGAAUUCCAUGUGUAGCGGUGAAAUGCGUAGAGAUAUGGAGGAACACCAGUGGCGAAGGCGACUCUUUGGUCUGUAACUGACGCUGAGGCGCGAAAGCGUGGGGAGCAAACAGGAUUA
Molecule: ribosomal RNA, 257 nt
Filed under: uncultured prokaryote
Description: partial 16S ribosomal RNA
Rfam family: Bacterial small subunit ribosomal RNA
Source: RNAcentral